UACGUAGGGUGCAAGCGUUAAUCGGAAUUACUGGGCGUAAAGCGCGCGUAGGCGGUUUGUUAAGUCAGCUGUGAAAGCCCCGGGCUCAACCUGGGAACUGCAGUUGAUACUGGCCGACUGGAGUGCGAGAGAGGGAGGUAGAAUUCCAUGUGUAGCGGUGAAAUGCGUAGAUAUAUGGAGGAAUACCGGUGGCGAAGGCGGCCUCCUGGCUCGACACUGACGCUGAGGUGCGAAAGCGUGGGGAUCAAACAGG
Molecule: ribosomal RNA, 253 nt
Filed under: uncultured bacterium
Lineage: Bacteria
Description: partial 16S ribosomal RNA
Rfam family: Bacterial small subunit ribosomal RNA
Source: RNAcentral